CAGGGUUCGAUUCCCUGCUGCUCCACCA
Molecule: non-coding RNA, 28 nt
Filed under: Odoribacter splanchnicus CAG:14
Lineage: Bacteria; Pseudomonadati; Bacteroidota; Bacteroidia; Bacteroidales; Odoribacteraceae
Source: RNAcentral